Molecule: ribosomal RNA, 410 nt
Filed under: uncultured bacterium
Lineage: Bacteria
Description: bacterial SSU rRNA
Rfam family: Bacterial small subunit ribosomal RNA
Source: RNAcentral
AGGGAAUAUUGCGCAAUGGACGGAAGUCUGACGCAGCGACGCCGCGUGAGCGAUGAAGGCCUUCGGGUCGUAAAGCUCUGUCCUUGGGGAAGAAGGUCUUCGGACUUGACGGUACCCAAGAAGAAAGCCCCGGCUAACUACGUGCCAGCAGCCGCGGUAAUACGUAGGGGGCGAGCGUUGUCCGGAAUUACUGGGCGUAAAGGGUGCGUAGGCGGCCCUUUAAGUCAGAUGUGAAAGCCCGCGGCUUAACCGCGGAACUGCAUUUGAAACUGGAGGGCUUGAGUGUCGGAGAGGGUAGUGGAAUUCCCAGUGUAGCGGUGAAAUGCGUAGAUAUUGGGAGGAACACCAGUGGCGAAGGCGACUACCUGGACGAUAACUGACGCUGAGGCACGAAAGCUAGGGGAGCAAAC